GGGGUUGUGGCGGAAUGGCAGACGCAGCAGACUCAAAAUCUGCCGACCUUAAAUCGUAUGGGUUCAAGUCCCAUCAGCCCCACCA
This 85-nucleotide transfer RNA is filed under the name Lachnospiraceae bacterium. RNAcentral's name for it is "tRNA-Leu". It matches the Rfam family "tRNA". From Rfam's summary of the family: Transfer RNA (tRNA) molecules are approximately 80 nucleotides in length. Their secondary structure includes four short double-helical elements and three loops (D, anti-codon, and T loops). The record is from RNAcentral. Lineage: Bacteria; Bacillati; Bacillota; Clostridia; Lachnospirales; Lachnospiraceae. RNAcentral also lists the same sequence under 2 other names.